CGUGUAGGCGGUGUGGUAAGUCGGAUGUGAAAUCUCUAGGCUCAACCUGGAAACUGCAUUCGAAACUGCCAUGCUUGAGUACCGGAGAGGGAAACGGAAUUCCUGGUGUAGGGGUGAAAUCUGUAGAUAUCAGGAAGAACACCGGUGGCGAAGGCGGUUUCCUGGCCGGAUACUGACGCUGAGGCGCGAAAGCUAGGGGAGCAAACA
RNAcentral lists this ribosomal RNA (207 nucleotides) under uncultured bacterium. RNAcentral's name for it is "partial 16S ribosomal RNA". It matches the Rfam family "Bacterial small subunit ribosomal RNA", at positions 568 to 774 of the family's 1533-position model. The record is from RNAcentral.